ACGGAGGGUGCAAGCGUUAUCCGGAUUUAUUGGGUUUAAAGAGUGCGUAGGCGGUUAUAUAAGUCAGCUGUGAAAUUUUUCAGCUUAACCGGAAACAUGCCGUUGAUACUGUACAGCUAGAAUAUGGUUGAUGAAAGUGGAAUGUCUAGUGUAGCGGUGAAAUGCUGAGAUAUUAGGCGGAAUACCGAUGGCGAAGGCGACUCACUGGGCCAUUAUUGACGCUGAGGCGCGAAAGUGUGGGGAUCAAACAG
Molecule: ribosomal RNA, 251 nt
Filed under: uncultured prokaryote
Description: partial 16S rRNA
Rfam family: Bacterial small subunit ribosomal RNA
Source: RNAcentral